GGAGGGGACAGGCCUAAGGCAUUUUGGGCCAAGAAGCUGAAAAUGUCAUUAGUACAAGUGGGAAGGGCACUGCAGCGUAACUGGGGGAUAACUGCCUCCCCUAAAGCAGGUGGAAGGCACCAACGUGGCAUGGCAUUCAGCCACAGCUCCUCGUGUGCUCCCCUGGAUCCAGCACUCCCACUGCGCUGGGGAAUGCCAGUCAUCAACAGCACUCCUCGUCCCUUCGGUAGCUGGGCUGCGUUGCAGGGAUUCCCAUUUGUGGGAUGGUGUGGGCUUGGCCAUGCUCCAUCUGCUGACGUUCCGGGCAGACCGAUGGAGGGCACUAGCUGGUGUGUUUGGUAGCUGUCAUCUUGGGUUCUGUGAUUUUUUACUUGUUGCUGGAGUUUCUUCUGCUGCUGGGGAGCACCACCCUGGGGCUGUGUCAGAGCUUGCCCCAUCUCUUGGUUCUUGCAGGACAGAAGCUGGGAAAGAGGAGACCAGUUCACUUGACGUGUUCCUGCUAGCAUUUGGUGCUGGCAGUGGCAGGACCUGGUGAGACGUGGUGGGGCUUUUAGGGUAUUCCAGUAGGCUGGGUCUGGCUGAACCCCUCUGGGCUCCUCGCUGAAGGAGGAGGUGGCUUCUGCUCAGGUUUCCAUCGUGCGGUGCCCUGAGCCAUGUUGUCUCACCACCUUGUCUGCUGUGUUGUCAUGGGCCUCAUUUCGUUUUCACUUGAGUGGUGAUUGGAACACUGGGCAUGGUUUGUCUGCCUUCCUGCACCAAUGAGUCUUCAAGAGCCUUAUCCUCAGCGUGCUCGGCCAUCAGAGCCCUUGUGUAGUCUGACAGCCUCUGCUUUGAAGGCAGUCUUUGUGGCAGACCUCAUGGCGAUGCGCUUAAAAGUUACCCAUCAUCUGCAUGUCUGGCCACACCUCGCUGCAACAAAACCAGGAACAUUGAGGAGGCAGAUCGUAAGCUGGGAUACCAGGUCUUGAGCCACGGAUGCAUAUUCUCACUGCGAUUAGUUCAUUACUCAAAUCGACAGAUAGCCUUUCCACAAACACCUCGUGCUACAUAUGGCAUGCAUUGCACAUAAUGAUCGGCCAUUAUGCUGAUUCACUUAAUAGGUCUGGAGGGAUUUGGGUUUUCUGGUGGAUAAUAUGCCACUUUGUUUGCUUGGACCCUGAGGGCAAACAGGUCCCAUGAUGUGCGGAGUGAGCUGAUGGCUGCCCUGCUUAGGGGUGGUUCUGCUGCUUCACAGCUGUGUAUCAAGGACAGGAUAGCAGCACACCCAGUGCUGCUCAGUGUGACUCUCUAAUGCCUUUAUCGUGAAAGCAGAGUCCAAAGCAAUAGAAAGGGCGUUGUUAGCAACAGGUGCUCUCCAUCCCCUCAACACAAGAGCAGCUGGCAGGGGCUGAAGGAGCUGGAGAGCAUGUGCUGGUGCUGAGGAUGGUGCUCAGAAGGAGUGCUCAGUGAGCAACGAAUGCAAUGUUAUGGGCUCGGGCAGAUUCUCUGCUUGUUGGUAUGUGUGGCAGGGUGCUUUGGAUCCCGGUCACGGAGGGCAGGGAUGCAGAGAAUUUGGGAGUUCUCCAACCCCUUCUCAAAUAACUUCCCCUUCAUAAAGCUUUUCUAGCCUGGGAUGUUUCCUCAUAGGACAUAAAGGACUUUAAAGUUCUUAAACCACCCCUGGCUGAAGGCUGGGAGGAGAGGUCUCACUCAGCACUUCCCUGGGAUCUGUGUUCUGUCCCCAAGUGUUUGCUUCCAACACAUGCUGAGUGCAGCACAGCAUCUCUGUGGGUCGUUGUUCCGAGUCAGCAGCGGUGACCAGCAGGGGCUUAUGGGGGCUGUUCCUGUAAGGAGGGGUCGGGCUGGGGUUGAGGAGCAGCUCUGAGCCUGGUGUGGAGGGCAGGGGAUGCUGCUGUGGGGACUGCUGCUCCACAACAAGUGCCUGGGGGGCUCCUGGCACGGAGCCCUCCGCCACGCCGAGCACAUCUUCCCUGUCCUCACUGUACCAAGUUCCAUUCACCUCCAGAGGAUCAAAUGCUGUCUUCCGCAGCGUGAGGCCACCUCUCUCUGGGCCCCGAAGGGUUCUGCCCGUGGAGCCUGCUGGGAGGCACGCUUAUUGCUUUCAUUUACACCUGAGUUUAGCUAAUUGCUUGAAACUUCUUCAUAACUUGAGCGUAUUUUACUACUACCAGCUCCCUGUCAAAGUCUGGGCUACUGAAAGCUUCUUAGAGCCCUUAAUUUCCAUAGCUGGUGUGUCUAAAACCACAACAUCCCCCUGCCCUGGGCUGCUUCACCAACAGCAGUGCCAUCAUUCUGCUAAGUGAGAGGAGUGAACGCAGUGUGAGCAUUCCGGAGCCCGGCUGCGCUCAUAACUGAGGCUCAUGCUAGAAGCAAGUAGCUCUAAUCAGCUUUUCCAAAGGAAAUGCCUAGAAAGCUUUUAUAUAGAUCAUGAUUUGUUCAUUUUCUUACUUAGGUGCUUAUUUAUAGCCACGCUCAAAUGCUCCAGGGCUAGCCUUGCUCCGGGAGGGAGAAACCUGUGUCUGGUGCUGUGGGUGGGGGUGUCUGGGGAGAGCGGGGUCACCAAAAUACUGUGCAAGUUUGGACCAUUAUCCAAAAAAAAUACAAGUAUAUCAAUUUUGGGAUGUGAAGCUGAACAGGAAUGGCGUAGGGUUUGCCUCAGCUGCACUCCUGGUGAAAAGUCUGUUCUGAUUCACAUGGGGAAAGCGAGCAGGAGGUGACUCCGGGUGCCUGAAAGCUCGGUGGCGUGGGUAACUCAUCACUACAGCUCAUAACCCCUCGAGGAAGGGACCCUUGUGGUGCUAAGCAGGAGGGCAUGGCCACAGCUGGGGCACCUAAAGUGUCUGGAGAGGUCUGGCAAUGCAGGGCCCUUCUGCUGGAAGGAGCCUUGUUCAGAGAGCUGGGGCUGGUUUGGGGAAGGGGUGUUUCCAGCACAGCUUCCUGCACUGCCAGCACAGGCGCUGUGCACAGGACGGGCACCACGAGCGGAUGCCUUUCCCAGCCCAUCCCCUCUGCACACUUUCACCCAUUUCUCAUGAGAAUUGUUUUAUUUUUUACGUAAUAAAUCUCUGCUUUUGUUUGCUCUCUGUAGCAGUGUAACUUCUGAACCAUUACAGGCUCUUUGUUACCAUCUGUGCUAGCAAGACUGUAGAAUGUGCUAGACUAGGGGGGAAUGUUUGACGAAUAAAAAACCUGUAAUCC
Gallus gallus (chicken) is the source of this 3198-nucleotide long non-coding RNA. NCBI's taxonomy places the organism in Eukaryota, Metazoa, Chordata, Aves, Galliformes, Phasianidae. The record is from Ensembl.